GCACGCAUAGCUCAGCUGGUUAGAGCGUCGCAUUCACAUUGCGAAGGUCUCUGGUUCGAAUCCAGAUGCGUGCACCA
Molecule: transfer RNA, 77 nt
Filed under: Candidatus Wildermuthbacteria bacterium GWA1_49_26
Lineage: Bacteria; Candidatus Wildermuthiibacteriota
Also listed under: 8 other names
Description: tRNA-Val
Rfam family: tRNA
About the family: Transfer RNA (tRNA) molecules are approximately 80 nucleotides in length.
Source: RNAcentral